This 254-nucleotide ribosomal RNA is filed under the name uncultured bacterium. Its description in RNAcentral is "partial 16S ribosomal RNA". It matches the Rfam family "Bacterial small subunit ribosomal RNA", at positions 524 to 776 of the family's 1533-position model. The record is from RNAcentral.
UACGGGGGGGGCGAGCGUUGUUCGGAAUUACUGGGCGUAAAGGGUUCGUAGGCGGCCAACUAAGUCCGACGUGAAAUCCCAAGGCUUAACCUUGGAACUGCGUCGGAUACUGGAUGGCUUGAAUUCGGGAGAGGGAUGCAGAAUUCCAGGUGUAGCGGUGAAAUGCGUAGAUAUCUGGAGGAACACCGGUGGCGAAGGCGGCAUCCUGGACCAACACUGACGCUGAGUGAGCGAAAGCCAGGGGAGCAAACGGG